This is a long non-coding RNA of Gossypium arboreum, 369 nucleotides long. RefSeq lists it as uncharacterized. The transcript has 3 exons. The record is from RefSeq and is a predicted model, not a curated record. NCBI's taxonomy places the organism in Eukaryota, Viridiplantae, Streptophyta, Magnoliopsida, Malvales, Malvaceae.
AAUGUACCUUUUCUUGGCAGAUCCCUUUCGCUGUAUGGCAUGCUCGUUUGGGUUGGGCGUCGGCUAAGAGUGCUCGGAGCAUGGAUUAACUCUAGUCUCCUAUCAGGUGAUUGAUUAUGGAAAUGUUUCAACUUCAACCCAUAACAGGUAAUCCCUAAGCUUAGAUGGUUUGGAGCUACGAGGGACUCGGAGAUGGCCACACUACUGUUUCUAUUUCUUUUAAUUGCAAUAAGUAGCCGAUUUAUUUCUUUAUAAGUUUUAUCUUUUUAAUAUUAUUAUUUGGUUUUGGGUUGUAAUAAGGCCAUUUUAAUUAUUUUUCUGGGAUUAUUUUAUCUUAUACCCUAUAUUUUACUGAUAACAAUCCAAAAU